GACAGGGAGCUUAAGAUGUAUAUAAGCACUAGAAAAAAUCUUCUAACCUUGAGUUGGUCUGGUGAGUUACUCUGACCUUCUCCUUGUAACUGGUUGCAGAAAUAAACUCCCUUCUUUCCCAGUCUGCCUGCAUCUCAUUAUUGGAUCACCAGGACAAGCAGCCAGGCCUCAUUCUGUCCGGGAGCAAAUCUGGUAACUCUCCCAGGAGAGCUCAGCAGCCAGCGGCUCGCAAAGAGGUAGUCUUUGGGUGACCCCCAGCAGCUGCCUGGUAUGGUUUGUCCUGGGGACUCUCCUGAGGACCUUUCUGGCUGCAAAGACUGCCCGUCUCUCUAUUACUGGGAAAGAAUAGAGAUUGGGAGCAGUUGCACUCAAAAGCCCUGCAGCUAGCUGUCCCAAGUAAACAACGCUCUUGGAGUAAAUUGGAAACUCACACAGCAUGGAAACCACAACCUUCUGGACAGACUGAAAGGAUGAAUCAAACACGAAAACAGUGCCAAACUGUGCCAACUAAAAUGGAUUCAGCUUGCUUGCAACAGGAGUAUCGUAAACUCAGCGAAACUGUGUCACUUGUACCAGCCUGGUGAUCAAGUGCUGCUGAAAGAAUAAAGAGAAAUGAGCCCAAGUCAGCAGCUACAGGAGAAAUAGAAAGGGCCCCAUGACAUGCUGCUGACUACCAAUUUGGCAAUGAAACUGGCUGGCAUCAAGCCAUGGAUCCACCACAUGCCCGUGAAGAAGUUCCUGCCGGAGGAAACAUUCAUGACACAGGACACCAAGGCUGCCAAAUGGGAGACAGAACCCCUUGAAGGCCUAGGAUUUCUGUUCAAAAGAUGAUAAAGUAUUGUUUUACAUUGUUACAUUGCUGCUUUACAUUGCUGCUGUUUUACAUUGUUAUUUCUGCGUACCUCUAACCUUUUCCUACAAUGGGCAAAGGUUAUGCAAAUAGCUUACAGCAAGACUCUUGCUGGGUCUGUGCUCUAUUACCCCUCUCUGGCACCAUGGGGCUGCCUUGGUGCAUCCCCCACAUACAAGGAAAAAUUAGGUUUAUAAUAUCUUGAUUUUGUAGAACACCUUCCUGGUGGCAGAAAAUUCUUCUUGUCCUAGCUGCCUUCCUGGGCAUGAGCAUAAUACUAUGUUGUGAACUAUAUUAUUGUUAUAUGCUGUUCCAAAACAUUCCUCAGGCUCACAAGAUCAUGUCUUAUCAGGCGCUGCCUUUGAGUCUCUAAAGCCAGAAACAUUACCAGCACCAGAUAGACAUCUUCCACUCUAGCACCCCUUGAUGACAACCCUCUUCAGCAGGAAGUAGAUGGAGGGAAUGCAUACCCACUUUCCCUUAGUCGGCUAUGUCAUAGUUUACACUUUUGCACUAGCCUUUUAACAAACCAGUACUUGAAAAAAUUAACUAACAUGCUAGAAAUCACGUACAAAUUGACAGUGGGGAUUGUGGCAGGCCAGGUUUCCAUUAGCAACCAGAACAGUCAGUUUUCACUAAUCCUUUACUAUAACUCUGAUGAAUAUAUAAGUUAAACAUUAAAGAACUGGAGAAACUGGUCACUAAGUACAAUGGCUGGAAUGCAAAAACAAACCCAUUAAGACCCCAGACCCUAAUGAUUAGAUACAGAUUGAAAGAAACACUCCUGCUUGUAGGUGCACUCCCACACAUAGGCAGAGAGCUUAAAAUGUGUAUAUGCACUAGAAAAAAUAUUGUAACUGCGUUGGUCUGAUGAGUUACUCUGACCUUCUCCUUGUAACUGGUUGCAAAAAUAAACUUUCUUUUUCCCCA
RNAcentral lists this long non-coding RNA (1780 nucleotides) under Homo sapiens (human). RNAcentral's name for it is "HSALNT0326934". The record is from RNAcentral. Lineage: Eukaryota; Metazoa; Chordata; Mammalia; Primates; Hominidae.